RNAcentral lists this ribosomal RNA (253 nucleotides) under uncultured bacterium. RNAcentral's name for it is "partial 16S ribosomal RNA". It matches the Rfam family "Bacterial small subunit ribosomal RNA", at positions 524 to 776 of the family's 1533-position model. The record is from RNAcentral.
UACGGAGGGUGCAAGCGUUAUCCGGAUUUAUUGGGUUUAAAGGGUCCGUAGGCGGAUGUGUAAGUCAGUGGUGAAAUCUCACAGCUUAACUGUGAAACUGCCAUUGAUACUGCAUGUCUUGAGUAAGGUAGAAGUGGCUGGAAUAAGUAGUGUAGCGGUGAAAUGCAUAGAUAUUACUUAGAACACCAAUUGCGAAGGCAGGUCACUAUGUCUUAACUGACGCUGAUGGACGAAAGCGUGGGGAGCGAACAGG